This 767-nucleotide ribosomal RNA is filed under the name uncultured bacterium. Its description in RNAcentral is "bacterial SSU rRNA". It matches the Rfam family "Bacterial small subunit ribosomal RNA", at positions 61 to 806 of the family's 1533-position model. The record is from RNAcentral.
GUCGAACGCGAAAGUCCCGCAAGGGAUGAGUAGAGUGGCAAACGGGUGAGUAACACGUGGGUGACCUGCCUUCGAGCGGGGGAUAACGUCCCGAAAGGGACGCUAAUACCGCAUGACAUCCUGCCUUUUAAGAGGUGGAGAUCAAAGCCGGGGAUCGCAAGACCUGGCACUCGAAGAGGGGCCCGCGCCUGAUUAGCUAGUUGGUGGGGUAAUGGCUCACCAAGGCAACGAUCAGUAUCCGGCCUGAGAGGGCGGACGGACACACUGGGACUGAGACACGGCCCAGACUCCUACGGGAGGCAGCAGUGGGGAAUUGUUCGCAAUGGGCGCAGGCCUGACGACGCAACGCCGCGUGGAGGAUGAAGACCUUCGGGUCGUAAACUCCUUUCGAUCGAGACGAACGGCUCCCAUCUGAACAGGAUGGGAGAGUGACGGUACCGAGAGAAGAAGCCCCGGCUAACUCCGUGCCAGCAGCCGCGGUAAUNACGGGGGGGGCAAGCGUUGUUCGGAAUUACUGGGCGUAAAGGGCUCGUAGGCGGCCAACUAAGUCAGACGUGAAAUCCCUCGGCUUAACCGGGGAACUGCGUCUGAUACUGGAUGGCUUGAGUUUGGGAGAGGGAUGCGGAAUUCCAGGUGUAGCGGUGAAAUGCGUAGAUAUCUGGAGGAACACGGGUGGCGAAGGCGGCAUCCUGGACCAACACUGACGCUGAUGAGCGAAAGCCAGGGGAGCAAACGGGAUUAGAUACCCCGGUAGUCCUGGCCCUAAA